RNAcentral lists this ribosomal RNA (508 nucleotides) under uncultured bacterium. Its description in RNAcentral is "partial 16S ribosomal RNA". It matches the Rfam family "Bacterial small subunit ribosomal RNA", at positions 28 to 507 of the family's 1533-position model. The record is from RNAcentral.
GACGAACGCUGGCGGCGUGCCUAAUACAUGCAAGUCGAACGCUUCUUUCCUCCCGAGUGCUUGCACUCAAUUGGAAAGAGGAGUGGCGGACGGGUGAGUAACACGUGGGUAACCUACCCAUCAGAGGGGGAUAACACUUGGAAACAGGUGCUAAUACCGCAUAACAGUUUAUGCCGCAUGGCAUAAGAGUGAAAGGCGCUUUCGGGUGUCGCUGAUGGAUGGACCCGCGGUGCAUUAGCUAGUUGGUGAGGUAACGGCUCACCAAGGCCACGAUGCAUAGCCGACCUGAGAGGGUGAUCGGCCACACUGGGACUGAGACACGGCCCAGACUCCUACGGGAGGCAGCAGUAGGGAAUCUUCGGCAAUGGACGAAAGUCUGACCGAGCAACGCCGCGUGAGUGAAGAAGGUUUUCGGAUCGUAAAACUCUGUUGUUAGUGAAGAACAAGGACGUUAGUAACUGAACGUCCCCUGACGGUAUCUAACCAGAAAGCCACGGCUAACUACGUG